CAAAGAACGUUCAGUGAACCUGAAUGAUGCUGAGUGAACAGAAAAAUAAAUGUUCAUGGGAGCUCACUGAAGAGUUCACUGUUUAGCCAAGCUGGUCUUCUGCCAUACAUGGUAGUCUUCCUGCACAUUGGAAUGGUUCACUCCUGCACCCUUAUUGCUGAAAAGCAAUAGGAAAUGGAUUGUUAUGGAUGCCCAUGUAAAAAGCAAGAUGAAGGAUAUGGGAAUGUGCAAAGAGGGCAAAGCUACACCAACUCAGGCAGAAGAUUUCAGGUUUACAAGUGGCUUACUCAGGAUAUGGAAAGUUGAACUCUUCACUGCAUGUACAACAGCACAGAUGUGAAAGGUCACACAAUGUAAUUUGUCCAAGAGCCAAAAUGGAGACAUGCUGAAUAUGUGAAUACCAAGGAAGUGGUUUCCUUAGCAAUAACAGGCGUGUGAAAGUCAAAACUUCCUUUCCUCCUCAUGUGACCUUUUUCAAAGCAAUUCAAGGAGGGACAAUAGAAUUGAAUUCCAAGCACCCACAGUAUUCAUGAAUUGCUAAACAAUGAUUUGCCAAGAAGCCAAAUUUCUUCAGCUUUUUACUAAGGCUCUAGGCACCUCACCAAAUAGGUGUGGAAUUUCUCAAGGACAGUCUAUAGAAGGAGGAUGGUUGAGUUUGGAGCCAGUCUCAGUGAGCAGCAUGUGAGAGCUGACAGGGAAAACCUCAUGUGAAGACUUCUGUGAAGAUUUGGGGGAGAAAGGUUUUCUAUAAUUUAGUAUCUUGUUUUCUCUGCCCUGCUUGGGCAACCUGGAAAGAGACAGUAGAAGUUUUCAACUAACAGUCAUACCUCUGUUCAACCUCACAGGCUACAAUACUGCCACUGUGCAAAGGAGAGGGUUUUGUUUAUGCAGGACACCCCAGCCAAACUCCACGAUCCCAGAUUUCAGGCUGGGGGCUCGAGUCACAGUGAAAGCUUAUUGGGAACUCCAGAAUUUGAACCUGACCCUUGUUGCUGCUGACUGGUGCCUGACCAAAGGGUUACAUGUGGUUGAAAGUGGAAUCUUGUGUAGGUAUUGAGAAGAGCUAAACAUUUCUAAUUAGUUUUCAUGAGGCUGCCACUCUUCUACCAAGGCUAGCUAUUACAACAUAUAUUCCUGUAUGUCCAGUGAAAUUUAGCCAUUCAUGCCUUUAGAAAAAUCUUUGGUCUUUUCUUAGCGCUUUAAGUCCACACAGUGUUUUAAAAUAUAUAUAUACUAUCUUAAUA
Alligator sinensis (Chinese alligator) is the source of this 1244-nucleotide long non-coding RNA. RefSeq lists it as uncharacterized. The record is from RefSeq and is a predicted model, not a curated record. The transcript has 6 exons. Lineage: Eukaryota; Metazoa; Chordata; Crocodylia; Alligatoridae.